This 107-nucleotide small nuclear RNA is filed under the name Catagonus wagneri (Chacoan peccary). Lineage: Eukaryota; Metazoa; Chordata; Mammalia; Artiodactyla; Tayassuidae. The record is from RNAcentral.
GUGCUCACUUCGGCAGCACAUAUACUAAAAUUGGAACGAUGCAGAGAAGAUGUGUGUCCUCCCUGCCCAGGCAGGACACACAAACACGUGAGGCUUUCCAUAUUAAA